UUUCCCUACGGGAGGCAGCAGUGGGGAAUAUUGGGCAAUGGGCGCAAGCCUGACCCAGCAACGCCGCGUGAAGGAAGAAGGCUUUCGGGUUGUAAACUUCUUUUCUUAGGGACGAAGAAAGUGACGGUACCUAAGGAAUAAGCCACGGCUAACUACGUGCCAGCAGCCGCGGUAAUACGUAGGUGGCAAGCGUUAUCCGGAUUUACUGGGUGUAAAGGGCGUGUAGGCGGGACUGCAAGUCAGAUGUGAAAUCCAUGGGCUUAACCCAUGAACUGCUUUUGAAACUGUUUAUCUUGAGUGAAGUA
This 305-nucleotide ribosomal RNA is filed under the name uncultured bacterium. RNAcentral's name for it is "bacterial SSU rRNA". It matches the Rfam family "Bacterial small subunit ribosomal RNA", at positions 334 to 653 of the family's 1533-position model. The record is from RNAcentral.